GACGAACGCUGGCGGCGUGCUUGACACAUGCAAGUCGAACGAUGAAGCCGGAGCUUGCUCUGGUGAAUUAGUGGCGAACGGGUGAGUAACACGUAAGUAACCUGCCCUUGACUCUGGGAUAACUGCUGGAAAUGGUAGCUAAUACCGGAUACGACCCUCGGAGGCAUCUCCAGGGGGUGGAAAGAAUUUCGGUCAAGGAUGGACUCGCGGCCUAUCAGCUAGUUGGUGAGGUAAUGGCUCACCAAGGCGACGACGGGUAGCCGGCCUGAGAGGGUGACCGGCCACACUGGGACUGAGACACGGCCCAGACUCCUACGGGAGGCAGCAGUGGGGAAUAUUGCACAAUGGGCGCAAGCCUGAUGCAGCAACGCCGCGUGAGGGAUGACGGACUUCGGGUUGUAAACCUCUUUUAGUAGGGAAGAAGCGAAAGUGACGGUACCUAAAGAAGAAGCACCGGCUAACUACGUGCCAGCCGCCGCCGUAA
This 484-nucleotide ribosomal RNA is filed under the name uncultured bacterium. RNAcentral describes it as "partial 16S ribosomal RNA". It matches the Rfam family "Bacterial small subunit ribosomal RNA", at positions 28 to 523 of the family's 1533-position model. The record is from RNAcentral.